RNAcentral lists this long non-coding RNA (1045 nucleotides) under Prunus dulcis (almond). Its description in RNAcentral is "sRNA ncRNA". The record is from RNAcentral. Lineage: Eukaryota; Viridiplantae; Streptophyta; Magnoliopsida; Rosales; Rosaceae.
GUUGUUUGUCUGUCACGAUUGUUGUCUCCCCACUCGAAUUAUAUUAUCUCAGCCUUCAAAUAUAUCAUAUUACCCAGGAUGCGAUGAUUUCAUCAGCUCACUCUCUCUUCUAUAUAAGUGUAAGGACCUAAGUAGUUUUUUCAACAUCAAUUUGCAGUCUAGCUAGCACUAAGUACACUCCAUCCCCCUAUCUUGUUAUUUACGUUUACUUCUUUUUGUGAAAAUGUCUAGCAAUCAUGGUAAGGUAGAGACUGAUGUUGAAAUCAAGGCUCCUGCUACCAAGAUCCAUGAAGUGUUGACACACAGACCACACCACAUAUCCAAUGUCAGCCCUAACAACAUUCAGGGUUGUGAUUUACUUGAAGGUGAAUGGGGCACCGUCGGCUCUGUGGUCUACUGGAAUUAUUUCCAUGGUAAGUAAGCCUCCCUAUAGCUUCAAUUAACAUCAAUUAUAUUAUAUAUUAUGUUCAUGUCGUCUGAUGUUAAUUUCUUUCUUCAACUAUUAUUAAUUGUUAUGCAGAUGGGAAAGCUAAAGUUUCCAAGCAGUUGAUUGAAGCCAUAGACGCUGAAAAGAAUCUGAUCACUUUCAAAGUGAUCGAAGGAGAUCUCCUGGAGCAUUACAAGAGCUUCAAGAUGACCUUUCAUGCCACUCCAAAAGCUCAUGGUCAGGGCAGCAUCGUCCAUUGGACUAUGGAGUAUGAGAAGCAUCAUGGUGAUAUUGAGGACCCACAUACCUUGCUCCAGUUUGCAGUUGACGUCUCCAAAGAUAUCGAUGCUCAUCUUACAAGUGCCCAGGCAUAAUUAAUUAUAAUCGAAGGCUUGAUUGAGGCGGGCUUAUAGGAUCAUCUGUGAUUCUGUGUGCUGCAUUUAUAUCUACUAUCCAUUUGCUUUCUUGCUUGCGGAAAUAAACGCCUUCAAUCAAUGUUUGUAUCUUAAGUCUGUGUGGGCACUGGGCUACCUGAAACUUUCAUUUACUUGUGUUUGCUGUCCUUAUCUUAUAUGAUAUGGGCUAUGUAUCUUUUAUUAAUUCCAAGUUGGGGCUUUA